AAAAAAAAAAAAAAAAAAAGAUUUUUUUUUUUAAAAAAAAGAACAAAUUCGAGAAGCUGGACUUCACUAAUCAAAUGACUAAUUUGUACAACUUACAAAUCAAUAGAGCGAGUUGUAGGUAAAACAGGUGGCAAUAAUGGAGGCCACAGAAAUGAAGAGCGAAGGAAUAAGGGUGGCGUUCAGGAGCCUAUUCUGGCCUAAGUACCCAGCCAGGGUUAUUGUGGCAUCAGCAAUCACACGAGCUAUCGUCCCAGCUUCAGUUGAGAGAAGUCCACCAUUGUAGGUUCCACGGGAAAGCCUGGAUGACAUCACUCGAGAUAGCAGAGACAAAUUCACGCCUGCAGAAAAUAUGUAUAUAUUCAUCUAGUCAUGAAACUUGCCGUACAACUUGCCAUACUGCAAUAUCCAAAACUCAGUUACCAAAAUUAACCUCUAGAUCUUAACUAAAAAGUAAUCUCAUCUCUCUGUUGACAUCUUUUUUGUCAACAGAUGUUUAAUCAUUAACAAUUGUGUUACUCAGAAUAAUUUUUGUUCCGACUUGAUAAUGAAGGAUAUCAUGAGAUGAUUUGUUAACAAAUCUUCCAAGGCGAGAAUAAUUUUAACAUUGAUGUAUUUAUUUUACUAGUGCAAGUUAUAUCCCAGCUAGCUCCUUUCUUCUCUUCAAGGCCUUAAUCGUCUGAUUGUUUUACAGAGGAAUAAUACAGUACAAACUAAGUUUACUUGGGAACAAGUUGCCUUUUGAAUCUUCCAAAAAGUUGUGCAAUUUCCAGGAAGAGUUUCAUCUUUGUUUUUUAAUCAUCUACAGGAGAAGACUUCCCCUUUAUCAUAAAAUUCAUCAAUUUGUGCAAAAAUAAUGAAUUGAACAAUUUCUCACCUUCAAGUACUUCAGCAGAAACAAACAUGAUUAAUCCUGAGCAGACAUACUGUGGAACAGUGUAUGCAUUUACGAAUUUGAAGCUCAAGAGUACUCCUAUGCAAACCAUAAUUUCUGAUGCCAAUAAAAUUUGCCUGUCUUCAAACAUGUUGCUAAUGUAGCUUCCAACAAUAAUAUUUACUGGCAGAACUGUUAGGCCUAGACAUGCAAGAAAAAUUGCCACUGUGCUUGUUGACCAACCAAAGUAGUACGAGGUAAUGACACUAGAUUCAGAGAGUAAAAUUUCCAUGGCAUAUUUUAGCAUGAAAUAUAUCAACAACUGAACCUUUACAGAAGGUGUAAGUAGCCUGUAUGCUGAAGCAAUUGAAGUGGUAGGUCGUCGAGAUUCCUCAGGAGCUUCUUCACUAUCAUCACAUUCUCCAUCACCAUUUUCAUCCUCAUGCUUGCCUUCUGAACUCAACAGUAAUGGUUGUUUAAGACCCUUCUCAAGCACAUCAUUUUCCCCUGGUCCAGCCUUGUCCUGUGAUACAUUUUUCUCUUCAGUCUCGUGAGAUGGUUCUCUAAAUGUGAUCCAUAACAGUAUGAGAUAUAAAAGCCAACCCACAGCCAUAACCCAGCCAGGCAAAGUGACUUGGUUGAAUGUAAACUUGUAAAUUUUAAAAUUAGUUUGAAGCAAGCCAGCAAGAGCGGGACCACAAGCCAUCCCAAGAGCACUGGCACUAACAAAACCUGCGGAUGCCUGCAUGCGAAUUCUAACUGGCACACAAUCACUGAUGUAACGCCGAUUAACAGCUCUAGCAGAACCAAAUCCACAGAAUAGACGGCCAACUAAAAGAAGUGUUAUUGACCGAUAAUCAAGUGCCAUUGCAUACAUGGCAUUUCCCACAAGAAGAACAACACUGCUAAAUACUAGAGGUCUGAAGUAUGAUUUAUUUGACCAGGCACUAAAAUACACAGAAGAAAACACCUGGGCAACAGCCAUUGCCCCAAUCACAACACCACAAACUGUUGCUGGAGCUCCAAGCAUUGUUGAGUAAUCAUCAGCUGUGGGGACAAUUAUAUAUGUGUUGACCAUAUAAAGAAAUGUGUUCACUAAGUUCAAGAACAGUGACAUAAAAUGGUAUCUUUGAUCAUCAGCACAUUCCUCAGUGGGAGUAGGCAGCUCUUCUUGCAUAAUGAGUGCAUGUUGUGCCAAAAAGUUGAGGAAGUUUGUUGAGUGACUGAGCCUGUCAACGGCUGCUUUCAGUGAAUCAACAACAGGAUCCUGGAAGGGAAGAGCAGGCUGAUCAUAGAUGGAUAAGUAGCUUCCCUGAUGUUCCUGAAGUUCAUGAAGAUUGCGAGAUAUGGCUCCAAUAACAGCUCCUAAACCCACAUGCUUAAACACUUGCUGCAGCAGGGAAUAAGGAUGAUUAGCACGGGUUUUCACAUAGUAGUCAGUGAAUCUAUAUCUAAAGCGUUUAUCAAACUUCUUCAGGAUCUUACGCAGACCAAUAGCAUUUAUCUCAACAAAAAAGAGAAGCUUUAACAAAUCUUGCCCCGCUGCUCUAUAAGCUUCUCGUAAUUGGGUUAUUUGAGAUAUAUCUGGCUCUUGCUCAAGAGCUUCCUGAUAUUCAUUGAGCUUGGCAAUCCUACUUGCAAGUAGCCCUUGUUGUUCCAAGAGAAAAAGGACAAUCUUCUCAAUCUGAUUAUCUAGCAUCCUUGAGAAAUCCUUGAGAACAUGCCUGCGAUCUAGUGUUCCAACUUCAAUUUGUUGCGCAUACUGUCUCACUUUUUUCUUCAUCAGUUUAUAGUUAAUAUAAUAUCUGAAGGAAAAGAAAUGUAUAAGAAAACUAAAAUCUAAAAUCUAAAGUAGUAACCUCAAAGGAGCAUAAAGAGAAUGCUUUACUAGUAUAGCCAAAUACACUUGAAACUUGCAAUAAAAGCCAAAUAAUGACUCAGAUGCAAAUCCAUGUGCGUCUAUAGUACAGAUUCUGUAUUCAUUUGCCACCUCUGGAUACUAACCAUCCAAGUAUGAAAUAUUUAUCAAAACUAGGUAAAACUAUUGAACUACAAGAUGCUUUUCACCAAAUAACGCCCGUCAGAGAGUUAAGGUUUUAUCUCACUAUGCUAGUAUUCAAAUGCGCUUAGAGUAAGCGGUGCAUGCUAGAAUGUAUAUUGAUACAUGAAAUAUACCCUUGCCAUUCUUGAAUUUGUCGUUCCUUCAACUUUUUCCCAAAGGCAACCAUCUUUCACUGCAAUAAGAAAGAACUAACAAAGAUGGCAACACUACAGUUCCUCAUCCCACAGUCCCAAAUGAUAUAACCCAUCGCUUUUCACAUUUAACUCGCAUCAGAACAAUCAUACUCACGCAGCAACUUCCUAAACUGCACUAGCACUACUGCUAGUGCUGCAUCACCCAUAUGCAUUGGGAAUAUUUAGCACGAAGACAGAGACCAGAGAUAGAUACAUUUCCCACGUAAACAGAGGUCAGAGAAUUGCAUAAUUUCCAUACAUUUACUUUCACUAAACUUUUCAAACAAAUUUUCACUUUCAGGUGUGUAUCAGACUAUGUAGGCCAGGCCUUAGACUUUUUGAUAUAAAUGUCUCUUACACAGCCGUGCUUAUCACUUUAUUAAAAAGCCACCCAAUUUGACCAAGUCCGCGCCACUAUGCAAGUAUGCAGUUUCAGGCAUCAGCAUAUCAACUCUGUUUGUCUCCUUUUUUUCUUUCCCCGUCCCUGAAAUCUAAGGACAUAAAGCAACUAGCACGGCGCUUGCGAUUUAGAAGCAAUACUGCUUGCUUUGGCUGUGUAGAGGAAUUCGGGAACAGAGAACGAAAAUAGACUCGAAAAUCAAAAUUCAACAACUGCUUUUCGUCCCGAUGCAAACUGAACUUAUCUAAGCAGCGGCGUAAGGGGAAGAAAAAACAGUCGAACUUCGGAGACUCAUUUUCUUUUUCCUUAAAGUUUCUCAGCAACUAAAUAACCGUUCAAAAUUUAUACCAGCUCUGUUUGGUUGCGGAGAAAACUA
This 3882-nucleotide unclassified non-coding RNA is filed under the name Hevea brasiliensis (rubber tree). Lineage: Eukaryota; Viridiplantae; Streptophyta; Magnoliopsida; Malpighiales; Euphorbiaceae. The record is from RNAcentral.